UCAGAUUGGAAUUAAAAUGAAGAGGUUAUGGAUUUCCGAAGUCCGUAUGUGUUUGCUACAAAAUUAAUUGAGUAAUCAAUUUUAUUGUGGUUUUCAUGUUAAAACAGUGCUACCAAGUAAUAGAAAAUAUUAAUACAAAAUUAUAGGAACUGGAAUGGGCUAAAAAGGAUUUAAUAUGAAUUUUCCAUGAAUUAAAUGAGUUUUGGGACUUAUUCAUGUACUAAAAAGUAUUUCUUAUACUGUUUUUGCUAAUUUCCUGGUUCCCUGGUCUGAGCACGAAUUACAGAGAAACUCGGGGUUAAACCAUAAAACUUUCCCAGACUCAGUCUAUACCAGUGGUGGAUUGCGGGUUAAAUUCUAUUUCACUCGGGGUCUCUUUAGCAAACGUUCUCGGGCGAAGGGGUAUGCACAGAUCAGAGCCGCCCGAUUAUGGCUGAACGGCCCAGAUUAAAUCGUUUCGGUACUUACGGCUGCUUCACUCGGAGCCGUUGGAUCCCUGAUCCAAGGCCACGCAUUCGCCACGACCCCGCUCCGAUCCGCCAUUGGGUUAACGAUCAACGGUCACCAUUAUAAAAUACCCGAGGUUGGAUCCCAGGCACAGGAUCACAAUCCAAGGACCCAGGACGACUCCACCACCAGAGUACACGUGCCCUAAUCCGCAACGUUCAUCAUCAGAUUAACGGUUACGGGCUACCCGACUCGAGUCGCACAGUCUAAGGACUCAAAUCAGUCUGGGCCGCACAUUACCAAUUCAACGGCCCCACAUCCUUCUUCCCCACGCCGGUGUUGGCAGCAGGUACGGUUGCUAGACCACGGCGGCGCCAUGGACAUGCCCCACCAGAGAUAAC
Molecule: long non-coding RNA, 848 nt
Filed under: Zea mays
Lineage: Eukaryota; Viridiplantae; Streptophyta; Magnoliopsida; Poales; Poaceae
Description: long non-coding RNA NONZMAT002998
Source: RNAcentral